This 372-nucleotide ribosomal RNA is filed under the name uncultured Dokdonella sp. Its description in RNAcentral is "bacterial SSU rRNA". It matches the Rfam family "Bacterial small subunit ribosomal RNA", at positions 545 to 916 of the family's 1533-position model. Lineage: Bacteria; Pseudomonadati; Pseudomonadota; Gammaproteobacteria; Lysobacterales; Rhodanobacteraceae. The record is from RNAcentral.
AGAGAUGCAUUGGGCUUAAAGGGUGCGCAGGCGGUUCGUUAAGUCUGCUGUGAAAGCCCUGGGCUCAACCUGGGAAUGGCAGUGGAUACUGGCGAGCUAGAGUACGGUAGAGGAAGGUGGAAUUCCCGGUGUAGCGGUGAAAUGCGUAGAGAUCGGGAGGAACACCAGUGGCGAAGGCGACCUUCUGGACCAGUACUGACGCUCAUGCACGAAAGCGUGGGGAGCAAACAGGAUUAGAUACCCUGGUAGUCCACGCCCUAAACGAUGCGAACUGGAUGUUGGGCACACUUUGGUGCUCAGUGUCGAAGCUAACGCGUUAAGUUCGCCGCCUGGGGAGUACGGUCGCAAGACUGAAACUUAAAAAAUUGACGG